RNAcentral lists this ribosomal RNA (750 nucleotides) under uncultured bacterium. RNAcentral describes it as "bacterial SSU rRNA". It matches the Rfam family "Bacterial small subunit ribosomal RNA", at positions 8 to 796 of the family's 1533-position model. The record is from RNAcentral.
AGAGUUUGAUCAUGGCUCAGAACGAACGCUGGCGGCAUGCCUAACACAUGCAAGUCGAACGCAAGGCUUCGGCCUUGAGUGGCGCACGGGUGAGUAGCGCGUGGGAACCUGCCCUUCAGUGGGGGAUAACCGAGGGAAACUUCGGCUAAUACCGCAUGCGCCCGGAGCAAUCCGGGGAAAGAUUUAUCGCCGAUGGAGGGGCCCGCGUCAGAUUAGGUAGUUGGUGGGGUAAUGGCCUACCAAGCCUACGAUCUGUAGCUGGUCUGAGAGGAUGAUCAGCCACACUGGGACUGAGAUACGGCCCAGACUCCUACGGGAGGCAGCAGUGGGGAAUAUUGGACAAUGGGGGCAACCCUGAUCCAGCAAUGCCGCGUGAGUGAUGAAGGCCUUAGGGUUGUAAAGCUCUUUUGGCGGGGACGAUGAUGACGGUACCCGCAGAAUAAGCCCCGGCUAACUUCGUGCCAGCAGCCGCGGUAAUACGAAGGGGGCGAGCGUUGUUCGGAAUUACUGGGCGUAAAGGGCGCGUAGGCGGCGACCCAAGUCAGAUGUGAAAGUCCUGGGCUUAACCUGGGGACUGCAUUUGAUACUGGGUUGCUUGAAUUCGGGAGAGGAUAGCGGAAUUCCCAGUGUAGAGGUGAAAUUCGUAGAUAUUGGGAAGAACACCGGUGGCGAAGGCGGCUAUCUGGACCGACAUUGACGCUGAGGCGCGAAAGCGUGGGGAGCAAACAGGAUUAGAUACCCUAGUAGUCC